UACGUAGGGGGCGAGCGUUAUCCGGAUUUAUUGGGCGUAAAGCGUGUGUAGGCGGUUUGUUAAGUAUAAGAUAAAAGCCUGGGGCUCAACCUCAGUUCGUCUUAUAAACUGGCAGGCUUGAGUGUGGUAGAGGCAAGUGGAAUUUCUAGUGUAGCGGUUAAAUGCGUAGAUAUUAGAAGGAACACCAGUGGCGAAGGCGGCUUGCUGGGCCAUUACUGACGCUGAGACACGAAAGCGUGGGGAGCAAAUAG
Molecule: ribosomal RNA, 251 nt
Filed under: uncultured bacterium
Lineage: Bacteria
Description: partial 16S ribosomal RNA
Rfam family: Bacterial small subunit ribosomal RNA
Source: RNAcentral